RNAcentral lists this long non-coding RNA (252 nucleotides) under Sorghum bicolor (sorghum). RNAcentral's name for it is "long non-coding RNA (SBIC_LNC014276)". The record is from RNAcentral. Lineage: Eukaryota; Viridiplantae; Streptophyta; Magnoliopsida; Poales; Poaceae.
CCAGCCCAAUACAUGAGAGGGGGACAAUAUAAGAAUUAAUGAAGCUGUCACUAUCACGAACCACCCCACGAUCUGGCAUAUUGGGUACAAUCGCAGAUAAAUACGGUAUAAGCACCACGCCUACACAAUAUCUAUCAUUUACCCAUGGAUCCGAUGGAUAAACGCUAUACGAUCCUAAGCAUGUGUAUAGAUCGAAUCUAACUAAGCCAAGUACAUAACUAUGAUAAACUAAGAACAACAUAAUCUUGAAUA